CUCUUUCCCUCCCUCUUUCCCUCUCUCUGUGCUGGUGUGUGUGUGUGUGUGUGUGUGUGUGUGUGUGUGUGUGUGUGUGUGUGUGUGUGUGUGUGUGUGUGUGUGUGUGUGUGUGUGUUGGUGUGAGGGGAUCACUUUGUUCCCAUUUUCUGCUGUGCCGCAGGCACACAUAGUGUAGAGGAUUGGUGAAGAUACUGAUGGGGAUGCACAGCUGCACGUAGAAAGCAGAAGCCGGUUCUCACUCUUGAGCUCCCCAUCCCAACAACGGGACUACCGCCAUCCUCCCUCUCCGAAGACGGGGGUGGGGGGGGAGUGGAUCCGAGGAGGGAGAGGGGAAUCUUUUCACUCCUGGUGUUGGAUGUCAUGCUCUGCUCUGCGUAGUGAUAGGAAGAGAGUGAGAUUACUCCAUGCCCUGUAAGGCACACAAUCAACAAGGUACUGUGGAGCCCCCCCCCCCCCUCUUUCUCUCUCAGUGUAUGCUCACUCACAGGACGAAGAGAAGUAGGUAGCCAAGGUGUAAGGGACAGGGUGGCUGAAGGGUGGUGUUCCUCAGACGGAGCAGAGCAGAACGCUCUCCCCUCCUCUCCCCUUGUCAUUAGUAUGCAGUAGCUGUUCCCCAGGCGACAGGGCCACUGGGUUCGGGCUGAGCUUACUGCAAGAGGAAAGUCAGCGACACAGAGGAGAGGAGGACAGCAGGUAAGGGUAAUGAGAACAGGCAGAGAAAGGAAAGGAGGAAAGAGAGAAGGAGGGAAGAAGAGGACAAGCGAAAGAAGGGCAAGAUGUCCCAAGAGGCUUUGGGGGUGCACUCCGUACACUCUCCAGACACUAACACACACACACACACACACACACACACACACACACACACACACACACACACACACACACACACACACAUACACACACACACCUAAACUCUUUUAAAAAAGGGUUCCAAAAGGGUUAUAUGACUGUCCCCAUAGGAGAACCCUUUUUGGUUCCAGGUAGAACCCUUUUUAGUUCAAUGUAGAACCAGAACCUACCUGGAAGCAAAAAUAGUUCAUCAAAGGUUUCUCCAAUAGGGACAGCCAAUGAACCCAUUUAGGUUCUUGAUAGCACCUUUUUGUUUCUAAGUAUACAGUGCAUUCGGAAAGUAUUCAGACCUCUUCACUUUUUCCACAUUUUGUCAUGUUACAGCCUUAUUCUAUAAUGGAUGACAUUUUUUUUUAAAUUCCCCUUAUCAAUCUAUACACAAUACCCCAUAAUGACAAAGCAAAAACAGGUUUUUAGACAUUUUUGCAGACAAUGAGUAAAAAAUAUCGCUUUUACAGAAAUAUUCAGACCCUUUACUCAGUACUUUGUUGAAGCACCUUUGGCAGCAAUUACAGCAUUGAGUCUUCCUGGGUAUGAUGCUACAAGCUUGGCACACAUGCAUUUGGGGUGUUUCUCCCAUUCUGCUCUGUCAGGUUGGAUGGGGAGCAUCGCUGCACAGCUAUUAUCAGGUCUCUCCAGAAAUGUUUGAUCACUUUCAAGUCUGGUUUCUUGUUGGGCCACUCAAGGACAUUCAGAGACUUGUUUUUGAAGCCACUCCUGCAUUGUCUUGGCUGUGUGCUUAGGGUCUUUGUCCUGUUGGAAGGUGAACCUUCACCCCAGUCUGAGGUCCUGAGAGCUUUGAAGCAGGUUUUCAUCAAGGAUCUCUCUGUACUUUGAUCUGUUCAUCUUUCCCCCGAUCCUGAUUAGUCUCCCAGUCCCUGCCACAGAAAAAACAUUGCCACAGAAUGAUGCUGCCACCACCAUGCUUCACCGUAGGAUUGGUGCCAGGUUUCCUCCAGAAGUGACUCUUUGCAUUCAGGCCAAAGAGUUCAAUCUUGGUUUCAUCAGACCAAAGAAUGUUGUUUCUCAUGGUCUGAUAGUCUUUAGGUGCCUUUUGGCAAACUCCAAGUGGACUGUUAUGUGCCUUUUACUGAGGAGUGGCAUCCAUCUAGCUACUCUAAUGGCCUGAUUGGUGGAGUGCUGCAGAGAUGGUUUUCCUUCUGGAAGGUUCUCCCAUCUCCACAGAGGUACUCUCACAGAGGAACUCUCACGGAAAUACUUUCCGAAUGUGCUGUAUAUGUAUUAAAGGUCCAAUGCAGUUGUUUUAUUCUCAAUAUCAAAUAUAAUUUGUAGGUAACAGUUAAGUACCUUACUGUGAUUAUUUUUUAACUAAAAUGGUCAAGAAGAAAAAAAAUGUGCUUCUUCGCAAAGAGCACUGGGCCUUUAAUGGCAAAACACCCGACUAGAAACUUUAUGUCAAGCGCACAUCAUGUAUCCAAAAAGCAAGAACAAAUGUAUUCUCUCUCACAAACACGCAAGGGGAGUUUGGGUAAUGUUUGGUACUUUUGGCUUUUUUCUUUGUAAGAGCCUUUAUGACUAUAUAGUGAUAAUGUAAUGCUUCUUGAGAUACAUAUGUUAUAUCUUCAGCUUUACAGCAUGAUUUUGUCUAAUAUAUUGUAUUUUAUUAUGUUAUUACGUAGACAUUUUUUUUUCUUCAAAUAAAUGUUUUACAUUUUUGAGAAUAGUGUUAUAAAGAAAGCAAAUGAUUGAAUGCAAACAGUGUAAAAUGUCAUUACAAAUUGUGUGAAAAUAAACAGAUUAAUAUUC
Oncorhynchus masou masou (cherry salmon) is the source of this 2619-nucleotide long non-coding RNA. RefSeq lists it as uncharacterized. NCBI's taxonomy places the organism in Eukaryota, Metazoa, Chordata, Actinopteri, Salmoniformes, Salmonidae. The transcript is spliced from 4 exons. The record is from RefSeq and is a predicted model, not a curated record.